UUUGUUCGAUUAUUCCAGUAUUUUUUUGAUUCUUUUUCCUCGUUUUUCGUACAGCUGUUGUCGAUGCUUAGACGCAGCUGUGUGCAAACGUACAAAUCCGUCGGUCGCAUAAAAUUGGCCUAGAAAAUGAAUAGAGGCAAUGGUUUAGACGAGAUUGCGAUUGCAAACCUUCUUGAAGAGGACGAAUCCGAUGUGGAUAUUGAAGAUUCUGGUGAAGAUCAUCCAAUUUUGGGCGAAUUAGUUGAGGAACCAAGUUCUUCAGAAGACUCUUCAGAUGACGAAAACACACCAUUAAAUGUGUUGUUUAAUAAGUCCAGUAUUAUUACUUUUUCUAAAACUGGUCUUCGCGGAAAGGAUCGUCAUAAGUGGGCAACUCAAAAGUCAAAAUCC
RNAcentral lists this small RNA (390 nucleotides) under Drosophila ananassae. RNAcentral's name for it is "GF27155". Lineage: Eukaryota; Metazoa; Arthropoda; Insecta; Diptera; Drosophilidae. The record is from RNAcentral.